UAGGCUAAUGUGUUAGCAAAGUAUAGCUAGCUAGACUAUUUAAACAUUGACAGGGACAUUUUUUUAAAAGUAUUUAUUUGGAGUCCUAUGUGUGGCCAGCUGAUGAAUAGGGCACGUGGAGUGGAGAGAGAGGAGAGUGGUCUUUUAAAAACUGCUUCAGUGCACUAAUGUCCCUGAAACCUGAACCCUUAUUGGAUGUGAAGGGCAUUAUAAGACCUCCACACCCUCUGUUUAAAGGUGAGGAUUAAAGGGAAGGAGAAGGGAAAAAGCCUUGAAGCAGAGCCCAGUCCGGCUCAGCCCUUCUCCCUGUGUGCCUGUCCCCUCGUCUCUGCUGCCGGGCUGAUUGACCGAACCUCCGACAGACCGACCGGCCGGACGCUUCCCUUCCACCGAGCCUGUUACUGUGAUGCAGCCAGGCACCGCUAGCUGCCUCGUGGCCUCUGACGUUUGGUGGAAAAGAGAGGAUGUGCUCAGCGUUCCUGUUCUCCACCUGCGUUCAGCUCCGGGGUCCUGACCUUCCUAAAAAAAGAAACACUUGAGAGAGACAUGUUGAGGAUCUGUCACCUCCUGCUGUAUGCAGGGAACACAGCAACCUCUUCUGGACAAACGUGAAAGUAGCAGAGGGUGUAAUGGAGCCAACCUAACAGAA
Molecule: long non-coding RNA, 649 nt
Organism: Centropristis striata (black sea bass)
Lineage: Eukaryota; Metazoa; Chordata; Actinopteri; Perciformes; Serranidae
Exons: 4
Source: RefSeq, a predicted model, not a curated record